AGUGAACGCUGGCGGUAGGCCUAACACAUGCAAGUCGAACGGCAGCACAGUAAGAGCUUGCUCUUACGGGUGGCGAGUGGCGGACGGGUGAGGAAUACAUCGGAAUCUACUUUUUCGUGGGGGAUAACGUAGGGAAACUUACGCUAAUACCGCAUACGACCUACGGGUUAAAGCAGUGGAUCUUCGGACCUUGCCCGAUUGAAUGAGCCGAGUUCGGAUUAGCUAGUUGGCGGGGUAAAGGCCCACCAAGGCGACGAUCCGUAGCUGGUCUGAGAGGAUGAUCAGCCACACUGGAACUGAGACACGGUCCAGACUCCUACGGGAGGCAGCAGUGGGGAAUAUUGGACAAUGGGCGCAAGCCUGAUCCAGCCAUACCGCGUGGGUGAAGAAGGCCUUCGGGUUGUAAAGCCCUUUUGUUGGGAAAGAAAAGCAGCAGGUUAAUACCCCGCUGUUCUGACGGUACCCAAAGAAUAAGCACCGGCUAACUUCGUG
This 492-nucleotide ribosomal RNA is filed under the name uncultured bacterium. RNAcentral's name for it is "partial 16S ribosomal RNA". It matches the Rfam family "Bacterial small subunit ribosomal RNA", at positions 29 to 507 of the family's 1533-position model. The record is from RNAcentral.